UUGAAUUCAAAAAGUUUACAUUAGAACAUUUUUAACUAAUAAAUACAUUGCAUUUACAAGAUCCAUUAAGUAAAUGGUCCAAUAAACAUCGCAUUGAAAAAUCAUAAGAAUUACAUCAUUUUUUGCAUAAGUUGACUUUUGGUCAACUGUUGACUUUUUGGUUAACCAAUGACUUUUUGGUCAAUCAAUUGACCAAAGUCAACUCAUCAUUUUAAAAUCCAUAAGUCCUAGUUUUCUUUGGUCUUUAAGUUAGGAUCACUUUUGCAUGACACUUGAAGCAUUUCUUGAACCAACGUGUGCAUACCAAGAUAUACACUAAACCAUAAUAUGGACCUAAUAUUCAUACAUUUGCAAAACAUUACAACACAUAAAACCAUGACAUUUACAAAGCAAAAUCAACUUGCUACACAUUUAACAUUAAAACCAAACUACCAAUUCAUGAAACUACUGCUACUGCAUUAGUGUAUGGGAUUUAUAAAACAGAUCUGCCUGAAAAUGGUCAGCUGAAUGUGGCUUUUGUGGACAUUGGCCAUGCUAGUAUGCAAGUGUGCACUGUUGGGUACAAAAAGGGGUAGCUGGAAUUGUUGGCUCAUACGUUUGAUAGGUCACUUGGUGGUACGGAUUUUGAUGAGGUUUUGUUCCAUCAUUUGGCUGGCUUAGGGAGAAAAAACAGUGGCAGGAUUCACUUCCAAAACCUGCCAACCUUGUACUCUUGUCAGCUGAAAUAAGAAAGAAAGUUGAGGUUGUUCAUAGAUUCUGCAAGCCGAUUCUGAUGAAACCAAAGCCAGCCAAGCCAGUUACUCCUCCUGCACCACCAAGCCCAACUUCUUCAGGCUCUGAGCAGCAGCUAAACCCUGCAUAAUCUUCAUGACAAAACAAAAUAGAGCAUGCAUAAGUUCAUUCAUUAUGCAGAAAUAGAACUGAAACAACUAAAAAUUGAGUACCACUAUAUAACUAAUUGCGCAAUCUAAUUAUAACUAACCUACUAGACUAAUUUUUAAUCUAACUGAUUUAUUGUAUUCAUCAGUGUUUACCCAUAACACAGAACAAUCAUCAACAUUCAUUUAAUAGAGAGUUUAACUAAACAUUCACUAACAGGAACUCUGCUAACUAAUUACUAACAAAUGAACUAACCGAUUAACAAAUCAACCAAUAAUCAUUGACAACUAACAAUAACCACCCNCAUUUGAAUUCAAAAAGUUUACAUUAGAACAUUUUUAACUAAUAAAUACAUUGCAUUUACAAGAUCCAUUAAGUAAAUGGUCCAAUAAACAUCGCAUUGAAAAAUCAUAAGAAUUACAUCAUUUUUUGCAUAAGUUGACUUUUGGUCAACUGUUGACUUUUUGGUUAACCAAUGACUUUUUGGUCAAUCAAUUGACCAAAGUCAACUCAUCAUUUUAAAAUCCAUAAGUCCUAGUUUUCUUUGGUCUUUAAGUUAGGAUCACUUUUGCAUGACACUUGAAGCAUUUCUUGAACCAACAACGUGUGCAUACCAAGAUAUACACUAAACCAUAAUAUGGACCUAAUAUUCAUACAUUUGCAAAACAUUACAACACAUAAAACCAUGACAUUUACAAAGCAAAAUCAACUUGCUACCCAUUUAACAUUAAAACCAAACUACCAAUUCAUGAAACUACUGCUACUGCAUUAGUGUAAGGGAUUUAUAAAACAGAUCUGCCUGAAAAUGGUCAGCUGAAUGUGGCUUUUGUGGACAUUGGCCAUGCUAGUAUGCAAGUGUGCAUUGUUGGGUACAAAAAGGGGUAGCUGGAAUUGUUGGCUCAUACGUUUGAUAGGUCACUUGGUGGUACGGAUUUUGAUGAGGUUUUGUUCCAUCAUUUGGCUGGCUUAGGGAGAAAAAACAGUGGCAGGAUUCACUU
This 1877-nucleotide long non-coding RNA is filed under the name Lathyrus oleraceus (garden pea). RNAcentral describes it as "Pisum sativum (pea) long non-coding RNA (PSAT_LNC030084)". The record is from RNAcentral. Lineage: Eukaryota; Viridiplantae; Streptophyta; Magnoliopsida; Fabales; Fabaceae.